This 473-nucleotide ribosomal RNA is filed under the name uncultured bacterium. RNAcentral's name for it is "bacterial SSU rRNA". It matches the Rfam family "Bacterial small subunit ribosomal RNA", at positions 355 to 825 of the family's 1533-position model. The record is from RNAcentral.
UGGGGAAUUUUGGACAAUGGGCGCAAGCCUGAUCCAGCCAUACCGCGUGAGUGAAGAAGGCCUUCGGGUUGUAAAGCUCUUUCAGACGGAAAGAAACGGUUGCGGCUAAUACCCGUGACUAAUGACGGUACCGUAAGAAGAAGCACCGGCUAACUACGUGCCAGCAGCCGCGGUAAUACGUAGGGUGCGAGCGUUAAUCGGAAUUACUGGGCGUAAAGCGUGCGCAGGCGGUUUGGUAAGACAGAUGUGAAAUCCCCGGGCUUAACCUGGGAACUGCAUUUGUGACUGCCAGACUAGAGUGUAGCAGAGGGGGGUAGAAUUCCACGUGUAGCAGUGAAAUGCGUAGAUAUGUGGAGGAAUACCGAUGGCGAAGGCAGCCCCCUGGGCUAACACUGACGCUCAUGCACGAAAGCGUGGGGAGCGAAACAGGAUUAGAUACCCCCGUAGUCCCUGAGCGGGCUGGCAAGGCGCAU